Schistocerca piceifrons (Central American locust) is the source of this 1089-nucleotide long non-coding RNA. RefSeq lists it as uncharacterized. The transcript has 3 exons. Lineage: Eukaryota; Metazoa; Arthropoda; Insecta; Orthoptera; Acrididae. The record is from RefSeq and is a predicted model, not a curated record.
UGCUGCCUGUUGCAAUAGAGGGGCCUGCCACUGCUGUGUGGAGCAGAGCUGUUACUCCUACCACGGCUCAGCUGGUACUGAGCCACACUCAAGGGCACUGCCAUAAAUAAGAGGAGGGGGAAGCCUGCUCUGGCUUGCCUCAGUUUGUGUGUGAACUGGUGAGCAAUGAACACACUAAUGUUUGUGCUUGGUUCUGUGACAACACUAUAAACUGAUUAUGUAAUUCUUGUCAUUUCUAACCCUAUUUCUGCUUCAAAUGUGGUAUAUAGUGUUGAGAUUUUCAAUAGAAAACUGGUACUGCAUAAUUUAAUAUGAAAUUUUCUGCAGAAACAGAGGAUGAUAAUGGAGUAAUGGCAAGAAAUAAAAAGGAAAUUAUGUGACAUGAUUUUAUGUAUAAUAAAUAAAAUAUUAAUCUAUUUGUUCAUAUUGUUUUUCAGCAUAAUAUUUCAGUGUGUCUUAUAAUUUGCAGUGAAAGUGCUUAUAUAAUCACUAAUGUGUGUGAUUUACAAUUUAAUAGUGCUGUGAGUCUGGAAUGUGAAGGUUACCUUGGAAUAUAAACAAACCAGUAAACAAUAACAAAAGACUGACACUAUACUUACAGGCAUGUAUUAAUGCUUUCAUGUGCAUUGGUCUGAAUUGCAAGAUUAUGAAAUGUAAUUGAGUAAAUCAUUUACAGAGAAAGGCACAAAGGUGUUUGUUAUUGAUUCUUCCUUGCCUGGUGGACUGGUAACUGAUCAAUACUGGUUGCUUAUUACCUUCACACUUGUACCCAGAUACCACUAACAACAGAACUAAAUGCACCUGCUACAUUUCAUUUCUCACUAACUGAUAAACAACAUGUUUCUUAGUCAGAUGGAUGUUCACAGCACACAAUGGAGCAAAUUCACAGGACACUGAUACAUCCAGAAAUUUGCCAUGUGCUGGUAGUAGGACUAUGCUGAGUCAUUUCAACACUUGUGUUGUUGUGCCUGCACAGAAUGUUGAACUAUGUGUUCAGAAGAAAAAUGGGAACUUUGAAGCAUACCUGUUUCAUUUAAUGUGCGGCUCUUUCUAGGGGGUCCACGGCCACGUUUCACCAAAUUGUGUAAA